UACGUAGGGUGCGAGCGUUGUCCGGAUUUAUUGGGCGUAAAGAGCGUGUAGGCGGCCAGGUAGGUGGGUUGUGAAAACUGGAGGCUCAACCUUCAGAGGUCGACCCAAACCCCCUGGCUAGAGUCCGGAAGAGGAGAGUGGAAUUCCUGGUGUAGCGGUGAAAUGCGCAGAUAUCAGGAAGAACACCCGUGGCGAAGGCGGCUCUCUGGGACGGUACUGACGCUGAGACGCGAAAGCGUGGGGAGCGAACAGG
Molecule: ribosomal RNA, 253 nt
Filed under: uncultured bacterium
Lineage: Bacteria
Description: partial 16S ribosomal RNA
Rfam family: Bacterial small subunit ribosomal RNA
Source: RNAcentral